RNAcentral lists this ribosomal RNA (373 nucleotides) under uncultured bacterium. RNAcentral's name for it is "bacterial SSU rRNA". It matches the Rfam family "Bacterial small subunit ribosomal RNA", at positions 521 to 896 of the family's 1533-position model. The record is from RNAcentral.
UAAUACGGAGGGUGCAAGCGUUAUCCGGAUUCACUGGGUUUAAAGGGUGCGUAGGCGGAUUAGUAAGUCCGUGGUGAAAUCCCCGAGCUUAACUUGGGAACUGCCAUGGAUACUAUUAGUCUUGAAUAUCGUGGAGGUAAGCGGAAUAUGUCAUGUAGCGGUGAAAUGCUUAGAUAUGACAUAGAACACCAAUUGCGAAGGCAGCUUACUACACGUUCAUUGACGCUGAGGCACGAAAGCGUGGGGAUCAAACAGGAUUAGAUACCCUGGUAGUCCACGCCCUAAACGAUGGAUACUCGACAUACGCGAUACACUGUGUGUGUCUGAGCGAAAGCAUUAAGUAUCCCACCUGGGAAGUACGAUCGCAAGAUUG